RNAcentral lists this ribosomal RNA (852 nucleotides) under Triticum aestivum (bread wheat). Its description in RNAcentral is "partial small subunit ribosomal RNA". Lineage: Eukaryota; Viridiplantae; Streptophyta; Magnoliopsida; Poales; Poaceae. The record is from RNAcentral.
AUGGGGUGCAAGUCGUGCCAGAAGCCCAAGGCGCAGCACCGCAAGGGGCUGUGGUCGCCGGAGGAGGACCAGAAGCUCCGUGACUUCAUCGUCCGCUACGGCCACAGCUGCUGGAGCACCGUCCCCGUCAAGGCCGGACUUGAGCGGAACGGCAAGAGCUGCAGGCUGCGGUGGAUCAACUACCUGAGGCCGGGGCUGAAGCACGGCAUGUUCUCCAGGGAGGAAGAAGAGACCGUCAUGAGCCUCCACGCCACACUCGGCAACAAGUGGUCUCAGAUAGCUCAGCACCUACCGGGCCGAACCGACAACGAGGUGAAGAACUACUGGAACUCGUAUCUGAAGAAGCGCGUCGAGGGCGCGCGCUCACCAGCCAAGUCCGCCGGAUCAGACGCGCCCCGGAGCCCGACGCCCAGCGACAGCGCCCGCGAACGCAGCACUGUUAACCAGCCGUCCAUCUCCGGCUCAUCCGGGCCGCUGGAGUCGUCGUCGAUGGCCGACGACUCGAGCAACCUCACAAUCCCCGGCGUUGUAGCCACGAUCCGGCCGCACACGCCCGUGCUCCCCAAGGUCAUGUUCGCGGACUGGCUCGACAUGGACAUGGACAUGGACUACGGCACCGGCCUGAUGGCACCUAGCGCACUGGACGCGGCCUUCGACGGCAGCCCGGCGCAGCUGGGCGUGGGCCACCAGGGGGCCGUGCAGGUGGAUGGCAUGUGCGGCGCCGUGGACUCGUUGCAUGGGCUCGGCAACGGGGGCAUCUGUUGGGAGUUCGACGCCGGUCAGAUCCACAUGCAAGGAGGAGGAGAAUUCUGCGACCUGCUCUCUGUGAGCGAGUUCCUCGGGAUCAACUAG